Molecule: long non-coding RNA, 5598 nt
Filed under: Ficedula albicollis (Collared flycatcher)
Lineage: Eukaryota; Metazoa; Chordata; Aves; Passeriformes; Muscicapidae
Description: lncRNA (ENSFALG00000028216.1)
Source: RNAcentral
GGGGGGGGGGGGGGGGGGGGGGGGGGGGGGGGGGGGGGGGGGGGGGGGGGGGGGGGGGGGGGGGGGGGGGGGGGGGGACCCACCCCCGGCCCCGCCCACCUCGUCAGCCAUGAGGAAAAGUUUCUCCUCGUAGGCGAACUUGAUGACGGCCUCGAUGCACUCGCGGCUCUGCACCUGGCCUGGGGACACCCAGAGGGGACAUGGGGACACUGCUACUGGGGGGGGCCCAGUCCAGUCUCGGGGUCCCAGUCCAGUUUCGGGGUCCAAGACAUGAGUUCCCAGUCCUUUCUUAGUUUUCCAGUCCAGCCCAGAGUUCCCAGUUCAGCCCUGAGGUCUCAGUCCAGUUUUGGGGUCCCAAUCCAGUUUUGGGGUCCAAGUCCAAUCUUGAGGUGUCACUCAAGUCCUGGGGUCCCAGUCCAGCCCAGGAGUCCCAGUCCAGUUUUGGAGUCUCAGUCCAGUCUUGGGGUCCCAGUCCUCAAGUCCUGGGAUCCCAUUCCAGCCCAGGAACCCAAUCCAGUUUUGGGGUCCCACUCCAGCCCCAGGAACCAAAUCCAGUUUUGGGGUCCCAGUCCAGUCUUCGGGUCCCCAUCCCAACCCAGAAUCCCACUUCAGGUCUUCUCCCAUGGAUUCUAUCCCACUCCAGGUGUCCCAUCCCAUGGAUCCCACAACAUCCCAUGGGUCCCAUGCCAUGGAUCCCAUCCCACGAAUCCCAUUUUAAGGAUCUCAUCCCAUCCUAUCCCAUGGAUCCCAUCCCAUCCCACGGAUCAAAUCCCAUCCCAUGGAUCCCUUCCCAUGGAUUCCAUCCCAUAUAUCCCAUUCCAUGAAUCCCCAUCCCACGGAUCCCAUCCCAUGGACCCCAUUUUAAGGAUCCCAUCCCAUCCCAUGGAUCCCAUCAAUCCCAUGGAUCCCAUUUUAAGGAUCCCAUCCCAUCCCAUGGAUGCCCUCGGCCACCGCCCGGCGCAGCUCGGCCACGUCCAGCGCCCAGCAGCGCUCCUCGGCCAGGUAAUAAUUGACCUGCACGGCCUCCAGCUCGGCCAGCGCCGCCGAGUACAGCGGGUACUGCGGGAUGGGGAUCAGCACCCCCGUGCGCGACACGCCCGAGCCCGCCACCAGCAGCUUCAGCACGUUCUGGGGACGGAGUGGGGACAGCGAGGGGACAACGAGGGGACAGGAUGGGAUGGGGAUCGGGAUCAGCGCCCCCCUGUGCGACACGCCCGCGCCCGCCACCAGCAGCUUCAGGAUGCUCUGGGGACAGAGCAGGGUGUCAGGACAGAGAGGGGGCAGUGAGGGGACAGGUUGGGUGGGAAUCGGAACAUUGAGGGGACCAUCAGGGGACAGCGUAGGGACAGUGAGAGGACAGCUUGAGCAGCUUCAGCACGUUCUGGGGACAGAGGGGGACGGUGAGGGGACAGCGAGGGGACAGGAUGGGAUGGGGAUCGGGAUCAGCGCCCCCCUGUGCGACACGCCCGCGCCCGCCACCAGCAGCUUCAGGAUGCUCUGGGGACAGAGCAGGGUGUCAGGACAGUGAGGGGGCAGUGAGGGGACAGGUUGGGUGGGAAUCGGAACAUUGAGGGGACAAUCAGGGGACAGCGUAGGGACAGUGAGAGGACAGCUUGGGAUGGGGAUUGGGACACUGAGGGGACAAUCAGGAUGGGGAGGGGUGGGAAUGGGGAGAUUGUGGGGACGUCGUGGGGACAGGGAGGGGAUCAGUCAUUGGGGACGGUGAGGGGACAGUGAGGGGACAGUGAGGGGACAGGAUGGGAUGGGGAUCGGGAUCAGGCUGAGCCCACGACCAGCAGCUUCAGGAUGUUCUGGGGGACAGAGGGGGACAGUCAGGGGAAAGAGUGGGGACAGUGAGGGGACAGCCUGGGGUGGGGAUCGGGACAUCGAGGGGACAGUGAGGGCACGGGGAGACGUGGGGAUUGGGAGAUUGUGGGGACGUCGUGGGGACAUGGUGGGGACAUCGUGGGGACAUGGGGUUGAUGAGGGGACAGGUUGGGGUGGGGAUCAGGACAUUGUGGGGACAGUGAGGGGACAGGAUAGGCUGGACAUCAGGAGAUUGUGAGGACUAUCAUGGGGACAGUGAGGGGACAGCGUGGGAUGGGAAUCAGUGACACCAUGGGGACAGUGUGCGGUGGGAAUCAGGACACUGAGGGGACAGUGAGGGGACAAGUUGCUGCGGACAUCAGGACAUCAGGGACAUCAUGGGGAUGAUGAGGGGACAGAUUAGGGUGGGAAUUGGGACAUGGAGGGGACAAUCGAGGACAGAUGGCGUGGGGAUCAGGACAUCGUAGGGACAGUGAGGGGACAGGAUGGGGUGGACAUCAGGACAUCAUGGGGACAUCAUGGGGACAUGGGGAUGAUGAGGGGACAGGUUGGGUGGGAAUCAGGAGAUCGUGGGGACAAUCAGGGGACAGCGAGGGGUGGGAAUGGGGAGAUUGUGGGGACAUCGUGGGGACAUUGUGGGGACAGAGAGAGGGGACAGCGAGGGGACAUCGUGUGGGUGGGAAUGGGGACAGGAUGGGCACAAGGAGGGGACGGGAUUCUGGGGGCACAGGGACAUCUUGGGGACUCUUUGUGGACAUGGGGACAUCAGAGGGACAUGGCUGGGGUGGGAAUGAGGACACCAUGGGGACAUCAGGGGACAUCACGGGGACAGCUGGGGACAGGGGACAGGGAGAACAACGCAGGCACAGCAACUUGGGGACAGCCCGGGGACAGCCAGACGGUGACGUGCGGACACGGGGACAAGGAGGGGACAAGGAGGGGACAACCCAGCGCCACCAUCACCACGGCAACCCCUCGGCCUUGGUGACAACGAGGGAGCUGGCACUGUCCCCAAGGAGGGAGCUGGCACUGUCCCCGAACCGGAGCUGGCACUGUCCCCAAGGAGGGAGCUGGCACUGUCCCCAGCGAGCCGUGGGGACACCAAGGACACGCCACCUCCCCCGGGGACCGGCGCCAGCAGCGCCACAAAGGUCCCUUUGUCACCGAGCACCGUGGGAACGGCCGGGGGGUGGCACCGCGCCCGGGAUGGGGGUAGUGUCACCGACGCCACCCGGUGUCACCGACGCCACCCGGUGUCGCCGUACCACGAUGGCGUCGCUGGCGCCCGUGGACAGGAAGAUGUCUUCGGAGCGGGCGGGGAUGCCGCCGUCGCGGCGCUCGAUGUAGCGCGCCACGUUCUCCCGCACCAUCUGUAUCCCGGGGCUGGCGCUGUAGGACCCUGAGGGGACAGCCGGGUGUCACCUCCAGGCCGGUGUCACCUCCCCCGGGUGUCCCCAGAGGUGACACCCACCCACGCUCUGGCCGCCGCACGCCUCCAGCCGGCGCUGCGCUCGCUCCACCCACGCUCUGGCCGCCGCACGCCUCCAGCAGGCGCUGCGCUCGCUCCUUGGCGUCGCUGGGGAGGGACGCGUCCUUCAUGAGCUCCGGGCAGAGGCAGAGCGCGGUCACCUGCGGGGACAGGGGGGGUGACAGGGGGUGACAGCGAGGGGACAGCCGGGGGACAGCCGGGGGUGGCCGUACCUGGCGCAGGAAGGUGAUGGGCUGCUGGCCCAUGGCGUGCGCGUCACCGAUGUUGGCCUUGAUCACCUCGGUGAAGGGUUUGGGGACACCCUGAGGGACAGAGGGGACAGCGGUGGGGACAGGGACGGGCACGGGGACAGAGGAUUGGGACAAGGACAGAGAUGGGGACGGGGACGGGGACAGCGGGGACAGGGACAGGGGACAGGGAUAGGAAUGGGGACAGGAUCAGGAAUGAGGGGGGGACAGGGACAAGGGACAGAGUUGGGGACAGGGGACAGGGACAGGGACAGGGAGUGGGGACAUGGGUGGGGACAAGGACAAGGACAGGGAAAGAAAGGACAGGGAGAGUGACAAGGCACAGGGAUGGGGACAAAGGACAACAACGGGGACAGGGACAGGGAUGGGGACAAGAAAUGGGGACAAGAGAUGGGGACAGGAAUAGGGACAAGGACAGGGAAAGCAGAGACGGGGUAGGGACAAGGGACAGAUUUGGGGACAGGGACAGGGACAGGGACAGGGACAGGGACGAGGACAGCAGUGGGGACAAGGGAUGGGGACAGGGACAGGGACAGGGAUGGGGACAAAUGACAAGAAUGGGGACAGGGGCAGGAAUAGGGACAAGGACAGGGAAAGCAGGGACAGGAACAAGGUAUGGGGACAAGGACAAGGGGACAGGGACACGGGGACAGCAAUAGGGGACAGGGUCAGGAAUGGGCAGGGAGGGACAGGGAUAAGAGACAAGUGACAAGAACGGGGACAGGGACAAGAGCGGGGACAAGGGGACAGGAAUGGGAACAGGACAAGGGGACAGGAAUGGGGACAGGACAGGGAUAAGGGACAGCAAGGACAGGGAUGGGGACAAAGGGACAGAGACAGGGACAGGGAACAGGAAUGGGGACAGGACAAGGGGACAGGAAUGGGGACAGGACAGGGAUAAGGGACAGCAAGGACAGGGAUGGGGACAAAGGGACAGAGACAGGGACAAGGGAUGGGGACAAUGACAGCGACAAUGGCACAGUGACAGCGACAGUGAGAGUGACACAGUGACAGUGACAGUGACAGUGACAGUGACAAUGACACAGUGACACAGCGACAGUGACAGUGACAGUGACACAGUGACAGUGACAGCGACAGCAACAGUGACAGUGACAGCGACAGCAACAGUGACAAUGACACAGUGACACAGUGACACAGUGACAGGGGGGGGGGGGGGGGGGGGGGGGGGGGGGGGGGGGGGGGGGGGGGGGGGGGGGGGGGGGGGGGGGGGGGGGGGGGGGGGGGGGGGGGGGGGGGGGGGGGGGGGGGGGGGGGGGGGGGGGGGGGGGGGGGGGGGGGGGGGGGGGGAGUGACAGUGACACAAUCACAGUGACAGUGACAGGGACACAGUGACAGUGACAGUGACACAGUGACACAGUGACAGUGACAGCGACAGUGACAGUGACAACGACACAGUAACAGUGACAGCGACAGUGUGAGUGACAGUGACAGCGACAGUGACACAGUGACAGUGACGCAGUAACAGUGACAGUGACACAGUAACAGUGACACAGUGACAGCGACAGCAACAGUGACAAUGACACAGUGACAGUGACACAGUGACACAAUGACAGUGACAGCGACAGCGACAGUGACAGUGACACAGUGACACAGUGACAGGGACACAGUGACAGUGACACAAUGACAGUGACACAGUGACAGUGACAGUGACAAUCAGGGUUCCCGACCCUCCUGUCCCCACCCAGGGCCACCCCCGAGUGUCCCCUGAGUGCCACCAUCCGAGUGACGUCACCCCCGUGUCCCUUCCCUGGGGACAUCGACAACACCUUGGGGACACUUUGGGGACACUUUGGGGACACUUUGGGGACACUUCGGGGCCAGCCUGGCGCGGUGACAGCGCUGUCCCCACCCCCACAGCGCCACCUCCCCCCGGACUUUGGCCACCUCGGGCGGACUUUGGCCACCGCGGGCGGCGCCGCCCCCGGGGGGGGGGGGGGGGGGGGGGGGGGGGGGGGGGGGGGGGGGGGGGGGGGGGGGGGGGGGGGGGGGGGGGGGGGGGGGGGGGGGGGGGGG